Molecule: long non-coding RNA, 711 nt
Organism: Dreissena polymorpha
Lineage: Eukaryota; Metazoa; Mollusca; Bivalvia; Myida; Dreissenidae
Exons: 2
Source: RefSeq, a predicted model, not a curated record
AGACGCUAUAACUAUUAUUACUACUGGGUGGAGAACAUGCGGCGAUAAAUUCAUUUUAAUGUCUUUUCUGCAUUAUUUUGAGCGCGCAACCCACUAACAUCAACUGCAAAAUGAGAAUGAAGGUUGCAACAAAAAAUAUGAACAGUCAUUGAAAUGAAAAUUGCAACCGUUAUGGAAAAAUAAUCAGCUUCGUUUUGAUGUCUCCAAGUUGCCACCUUGGAGUACAAGUAUUGGGGACUUUGAUUCUGAGCCAUCAUUUCUGACUGGCUGGCUGGUUAGUGCAUUUCAUACGUAAUGUAAGCAAACAACAUGCAAUUAAAUAUCAUGCACUAACUUACAAGUAUAGUUUUUAACAGAUAACAUUAAUCUGUCAAUAAACGAAUCCUGACAUUAAAUGCAAAUGUUUUAAUUUUUAUACAUUGUAAUACUGCAUUUUAGAUGCUGGUACAAUUGGCGACAAAGCAGAUGUGGCUUAGGCAAUGGAACUACUGCUAAACAAGAUGUUUUAUAUCAAGCCCACUCAGAAGUUAGGGCAGAAAGUUACCUUCUUGUUCUACUUAUUAUGCACUGGCGCUUUUAAGAGCAUACCUAACAUGUCAGACCGGGAUGUCGGUGACUCAGACAAUGACCAUGAUGGAAUGGAGAUGUCUGGAGACCUUGUGAUAAAUUUUUUGUCAGAUAUUAACUGUGAAUAAAACAGAAUCAAGUGUU